RNAcentral lists this ribosomal RNA (426 nucleotides) under uncultured Prosthecobacter sp. RNAcentral's name for it is "bacterial SSU rRNA". It matches the Rfam family "Bacterial small subunit ribosomal RNA", at positions 355 to 774 of the family's 1533-position model. The record is from RNAcentral. Lineage: Bacteria; Pseudomonadati; Verrucomicrobiota; Verrucomicrobiia; Verrucomicrobiales; Verrucomicrobiaceae.
UCGAGAAUCUUUCACAAUGGGGGCAACCCUGAUGGAGCGACGCCGCGUGGAGGAUAAGGUCUUCGGAUUGUAAACUCCUGUCAUGUGUGAACAAGGCUGUCGCGUUAAUAGCGUGGCAGAUUGAUGGUAACACAAGAGGAAGAGACGGCUAACUCUGUGCCAGCAGCCGCGGUAAUACAGAGGUCUCAAGCGUUGUUCGGAAUCACUGGGCGUAAAGGGUGCGUAGGUGGCGUGGUAAGUCAGAUGUGAAAGCCCGGGGCUCAACCUCGGAAUUGCAUCCGAUACUGCCGUGCUAGAGUACUGAAGAGGUGACUAGAAUUCUCGGUGUAGCAGUGAAAUGCGUAGAUAUCGAGAGGAAUACCAACGGCGAAGGCAGGUCACUGGGCAGUUACUGACACUGAGGCACGAAGGCCAGGGGAGCAAACG